Molecule: non-coding RNA, 21 nt
Filed under: Arabidopsis thaliana (thale cress)
Lineage: Eukaryota; Viridiplantae; Streptophyta; Magnoliopsida; Brassicales; Brassicaceae
Source: RNAcentral
UAUCUUCAAGUGCAUCGAUGG